AUGCAUGUUGUGGAUGCUGCGAGCAUACACACGUGGAGGCGAGAGUGGGACAUGACAUGAUACGGUAGAGAGAAAACAUAAACAAUAGAGGGAAAAUAAAAAGAAGAAAUAGAAAAGGGGAAGAAAAAACUUGUUAUAAACUUGUUUGCUCUUUUUAAUAACUUGUACAUCUUUAUUAAGCUAUUUAUUGACUAGUGAAAGCUUUAUGUGAGAUUCUUAUAACUGAGAUAACUAGUGAACUGAAGCGCCCCAAUCCUCUAGGACUCAAAUGUGAUACAAUUACUAGUCCCAGGAGGCUAGUAAACACAUUUAUACAUCAGAUGAUUCUAGAUCUGCUUAAACGAGACAAACCUGUAAAGGUGACGAUCAACUUUAAGAGUUGGUCCACAACUCGGGACAUAUCAUCAGAGUGGGGCUGAAGCAGCCCGAUAUACGCAGCGAAGCAAAUUAGCGGCCCAACAACCACAGGCAAGGUUGGGAACAAGCGUAACUCUUACCCGAUCAGCGAUCUCCUUGUCUGAAAAACAACAAAUAAGCAAGGGUGAGUACUUACGUACUCAGUAGCCCACCUUCACCCACGGAAUGGGGAAAUCAGAUAUAAUGCAUGGAGUAUGUGGAGCUCAGGAUAUUUUACAGAAAGAGCAAUAUUUGAUGCAGAGUUCUUUUGUAAAAAAAAUCAUAUUUUUUAAAGUGCAUCCUCUCCCAAAGGAGCAGAAAGUUUUUCAAUAUAGAGCAAAAUCCCAUGGACUAAACCAUCCAGAUAUCUCAACAUAUUCCCACUGGUUUUCAUUUUCAAAAACAGCUACUGGAUUUCCCGUCCACCAUAGCUCACGGCUCAACCGCCGGACCUUUUAAACCACUUUUCAAAAGCAUUUUUGGAAAACAAAACACUAAUCGUCAAAUCCAUGCCAUGACUCAUCCAUAUCCGUGGACGUGGACUAUUCAAAUAGGUUUUCAAACUCUGCGCAGAGGUGUACACUUCACCCACUAGUCCGGUUUCUUCAAUCUCACCAUCGUGAGAUUCGAAUGCCGAAACUCUCUCCUUCCUUGCACGUCCUUACCUUAGCGAUUAUACCGGAAGGAACAAGGCCACCACCAUGUCCAAACCGGACAAAACAUUCCCCUUCUUUAUCGGAGUGCUCCCCAGCCGUCAUAAUCCUGGGGUUCGGACCGUGCAAGUUCAGAUCAAGCGACUGCCCAUACAUUCUCGAGUGGUUGCACUUGAUAAGAGUAUAGGUAAAGAGUGAUGACAAACCGAUCCUUAGGCGAGAGGGACAAUCCUUCGUGCUCACACCUAACCUGGCUGAGCCAUCACCUUAGGCCCUCCCCUAAACCAGGGAGUCCCUGAUCAUCCCGCUCAAAUGUGAUAAGGGUGACAACCCUUCAUCAUACCCAUCUUGAAAAACAUUUUCUUUUAAAACUCACACCUUUUCUCAAAUCAUUUGUAACAAAUAUGUCCAGGAGUAUAAAGAUUGAUUGCGGCAAAGUUCUAAGGCUGGGUGGCCAUAAUAACUUGUCUCUUAGUAGCAAAAUCAUAUCAUGCAUAAAAUAAUAGGCUGAGGGUUGUGGUUGAAAAAGUAUAGGUAAUUUAUGCAUCAAAGGGAUCCAGUGAGCUUGCCGUGCUUUAACCGGUGAAAGGGGUGAGAGAUCGCGGGGACUAGGUUGUUUGGAACCGAACCUCGGUAAAAUAAAUCACCGUGUCUACUCGCUUUGAUUCUCGCUUGAUUUGUUUGACCUCUUUCCUCUCUCUAACGUUUCCUUGCUAGUAUUGAUUUGAGUUUGCUCCCAUACGUCAUCCGCAUUCUUUGAGCAACUCCUAGCAAGAGAAAUAGUUGAAAGUCUCCUAGAGGGGGGUGGAUAGGCGGAAUCUGAAAAUUAUAAACUUAAGCACACACUACAAGCCGGGGUUAGCGUUAGAACGAAUAUUAAGUCCGGGAGAGAGGGGAAAACAAAUCAACCAAGAGAUAAUGCAGAUGAACAUGAUGAUUUGUUUUACCGAGCUUCGGUUCUAAAGAACCUAGUCCCCGUUGAGGUGGUCACAAAGAACGGGUCUCUUUCAACUCUUUCCCUCUCUCAAACAGUCACCUAGACUGAGUGAGCUUUCUUCCUUGAUUUCUCGGGUCACUUAGACCCUGCAAGGACCACCACACGAUUGGUGUCUCUUGCUUUGUUUACAAGGCUUUGAGAAUAAGAAUGAGAGAAAGAAGAAAGCCAACCAAGCAACAAGAACAACAAAGAAACACAAGAACGAUCCUUUCACAAGUCCACAAACAAAUUAAAGCAACUCAAACUCGUUGACAACACCCAAGGCACAUAUCUAAUACAAAUAGAACCAUACCUAAAGUGCAUCUUCAAGGUUACUACACAUGAGCAGAUAACAACAAGAGACACAACAACCAGUGCAUGAAGGAAAACCAACGCACCUGGACGAUUAGUCUUCGAUUGCAGGCUUGGAGCAGUGUCAGCCUUAAGAUGGCAAGAUGCUCCAUGGCCAGCUGGCCCUAGAGCAGUGCCACGACAGCUAACAGGAUAGGGAGGCAGGGCCUGAGAGGCUGUUGCUGCGAGCUUGCCAACCUUGAGAGUUAUACAGGAUCUGCUGAGGGCUUUGGAGCAGGAGGAGUAGGGCAGCAAGCGUUGGUAUUUGCCGUGGGCUCGCCGAAGGAGCAGGAGAUCGUGGUUGCAGGUUGGAGGCUUUGAGCUCGGAGCGCAGGUGGCGCCGACUUGCCGGAGGAGGCCCGCCGCCACAGGAACGCCGGAGUCAAAAGAGCCGUCACACUAGGGUUGGUCGUGGUCGUGAUCGUGUCAGUCGUUUGGAUUUGGAU
RNAcentral lists this long non-coding RNA (2822 nucleotides) under Zea mays. RNAcentral describes it as "long non-coding RNA (ZMAY_LNC001243)". Lineage: Eukaryota; Viridiplantae; Streptophyta; Magnoliopsida; Poales; Poaceae. The record is from RNAcentral.